This 159-nucleotide small nuclear RNA is filed under the name Trichobilharzia regenti. RNAcentral's name for it is "U1 spliceosomal RNA". It matches the Rfam family "U1 spliceosomal RNA". From Rfam's summary of the family: U1 is a small nuclear RNA (snRNA) component of the spliceosome (involved in pre-mRNA splicing). Its 5' end forms complementary base pairs with the 5' splice junction, thus defining the 5' donor site of an intron. There are significant differences in sequence and secondary structure between metazoan and yeast U1 snRNAs, the latter being much longer (568 nucleotides as compared to 164 nucleotides in human). Lineage: Eukaryota; Metazoa; Platyhelminthes; Trematoda; Strigeidida; Schistosomatidae. The record is from Rfam by way of RNAcentral.
UCUAUCACUUGGCGCCGGGUUCAGGGUGAUCAAGAAUGCUCUAACCCUGGGUGGAGGCUCACCAUUGCACCUCAGUGAGAUGAAACUCGCGACGUACCCUAAUCGGGUGCGCUCGGGUGUGUAGUUUUUAUCAGUGGGAAGGCCUCAUGGUCCUCCCUU